AUUGAACGCUGGCGGAAUGCUUUACACAUGCAAGUCGAGCGGCAGCGCGGGGCAACCUGGCGGCGAGCGGCGAACGGGUGAGUAAUGCAUCGGAACAUGUCCAUGUCGUGGGGGAUAGCCCGGCGAAAGCCGGAUUAAUACCGCAUACGCUCGAGAGAGGAAAGCCGGGGACCGCAAGGCCUGGCGCGAUUGGGUUGGCCGAUGUCCGAUUAGCUAGUUGGUGGGGUAAAGGCUUACCAAGGCGAUGAUCGGUAGCUGGUCUGAGAGGAUGAUCAGCCACACUGGGACUGAGACACGGCCCAGACUCCUACGGGAGGCAGCAGUGGGGAAUUUUGGACAAUGGGGGCAACCCUGAUCCAGCCAUUCCGCGUGAGUGAAGAAGGCCUUCGGGUUGUAAAGCUCUUUUGUCCGGAGCGAAACGGGCGCGGCUAAUACCUGCGUCUACUGACGGUACCGGAAGAAUAAGCACCGGCUAACUACGUGCCAGCCGCCGCCGUAA
This 499-nucleotide ribosomal RNA is filed under the name uncultured bacterium. Its description in RNAcentral is "partial 16S ribosomal RNA". It matches the Rfam family "Bacterial small subunit ribosomal RNA", at positions 29 to 523 of the family's 1533-position model. The record is from RNAcentral.